Molecule: ribosomal RNA, 329 nt
Filed under: uncultured eukaryote
Lineage: Eukaryota
Description: partial 18S ribosomal RNA
Rfam family: Eukaryotic small subunit ribosomal RNA
Source: RNAcentral
CCCUUAGAUGUUCUGGGCUGCACGCGCGCUACACUGAAGCGUUCAACGAGUAUUCACCUUGCCCGGGAGGGUUGGGCAAUCUUUUGAAAACGCUUCGUGAUGGGGAUAGAUUAUUGCAAUUAUUAAUCUUCAACGAGGAAUUCCUAGUAAGCGCGAGUCAUCAGCUCGUGCUGAUUACGUCCCUGCCCUUUGUACACACCGCCCGUCGCUCCUACCGAUUGAACGUGCUGGUGAAGCGUUAGGACUGGAGGUCUUGGGCCGGUUCGCCUGCCCAUAGCUUCGGGAAUUUCGUUGAACCCUNCNGUUUAGNGGAAGGAGAANUCGUANCA